This is a long non-coding RNA of Triticum dicoccoides, 1335 nucleotides long. RefSeq lists it as uncharacterized. The record is from RefSeq and is a predicted model, not a curated record. Lineage: Eukaryota; Viridiplantae; Streptophyta; Magnoliopsida; Poales; Poaceae. The transcript is spliced from 4 exons.
CUCCCACGCCGGCCACCGUCCCUCGAACUAUCAGCACCGCCCCUCACCACUCCCCUGUGAUCCUCCACCCCGGCAUGCCGCCCCUCACCAAUCCCCUGCGACCUUCCAUCUCGGUGUGCCGUCCCUCGUCAACACUCCCCUGCGACCCGGCUUCCCAGUGCGCUGCCCCUCGUCAGCGCGCCCCUACGAAUCAACUGCGUCUAUUAUUCCUCCGCACGGGGGCCGGCGGCUGUGGGGAGAGUUGCCGCUACAACCACCCUCGCGAUCAAGCUAUCGUGGUUAAAUUAUAGCUGGUUGGUGCGGAGAGGACACUCCAGCUGAAGCCUCUUGUUGUGAUUGAAUUGAUUCUAGUUAUAGCUUAGGAGCCUAUCACCAGCCCAUGGAAGUGAAACUUGAUUGUGCAGUCCUUGGUUAAUGUCGUGGAUUAUGUGGUUGACUGAUUUCUGCUUACAUCCCAAUUUGCCGGCCUAAUCAGUCAUAUGGUCAUACUUCUAUGGGGAAAAUCUUUUUUUUACCUUAUUAUUACAGCUCAAGUAGGUGCGAUACUCACUUGUGCCAGUACUUUGUUGUAGUAGUGAGGAUUUCUGUAGAAGUGAGAACAUCGACGAGUGCCUUAUCACCUAACACGGCCAUCUACUCAGUGCAGGUAUGUGGCAUGCAAGGAGAGGAGAUGAUGGACAUAACAAUUACAAAAUCUACCUCAUAUUUGAUCUGAUAAGCACCUCUUUUGUCCAACGUCAUCAGUUGGGGAGGAAUCUCGUCUCCAAUCAUACAUAAUUUCACUCUAAUUUCUUCUUUUUCUUAAAGAUAAAUAGCAUAAGGAGAAACCAUUCUGAUGUCACAUCUGACCUAACAAUUUCAGAUCAUGAUAGUAGUUAUUUCUAGCUAACAAUUGGUGGAAACACAAAAAUGUUAGCCCAUUAUUGGCUUGAUGACUAGUGUGCAUUGUAGAAUAACCUUACUAGCCUUUUUUACAAUGUUUGAAGAAAAUUCUGCCUAUUAUGUUGCGAAGGCUUGGAGGAGGAUUCUUGCAUUGUUGAAAAACAAUAUAAUUGUUAAUUUCUGUUGUACGACGACAGGAACUUAAAUCACAAAUCAGAUAUUUACAAGCUAAGCUUUAGGAGUUUAUUCAUGGUGAUGAUGAUGAUGAUGAUGAUGAUGGUGAUGAUGAUGAUGAUGAUGAUGAUGGAGGCCUUCCAUUUUAAUAAAGUUGUAGGGGAUGUUCUUGUUGGAUGAUGUUCCUCGGUUAAGUUUUUGAUAAGUUGUACGCAUGUUGAUGGAUGCCUUCAGUUUGAGAUUCGUUGUCAAGAAAAUAUUUAGAUUACGUAUCACAUU